Molecule: long non-coding RNA, 778 nt
Organism: Ursus maritimus (polar bear)
Lineage: Eukaryota; Metazoa; Chordata; Mammalia; Carnivora; Ursidae
Source: Ensembl
GUCAAAUAGCAGCCAAUUCCACGCGAGCUCUGGCGGCCAGGCCCCGCCCCCCUGACCUCACGUGGCCCCGCAUGAGGUUGCUACUUGCCUGCUCCAGGACCGAGCAGCACUGGGAGUUCUGCCCAGCUCAGCACUUCGUUAUACUGUGGAAGCAGGAAGGAACUGGCCAGCAGGCAUUCCCAAGAGAACACUCAGAGGGACGCUGGUCCAGUGGACUGACAGGCGGCAGAUGCAAAUGGGAACUGAGGUGGAAGCCGAGGACUGAGGACUUCGAGGGCAUCCCCAGGACUCCAUGCUGGAUACCUUCACUGACUGACGGGAGGGAGCGGGUUUGUAGGGCGGUGUGUCAGUCUCUGGCUACCAUCUUUGUCCGCUUCCCGAGGAACGGGACCACAGCUGCAGUUGCCUUGGUACAACCAAUGGGGGACAGUGUCCUGCAGUGGUUAAAGGCGUGGGCUCUGAAACAAGACUGAAUCCUGGCUCGCUCCUGUGUAACCUCAGGCAAGCUACUUGGCCUCACCAUGCCUCAGUUUCUCCAUCUGCAAAAUGGGAGCAGGGAUGGUAGUAUCCAUCUCAGGAGAUUAUAAGGACCUAAAUGACGCCAUGUACAGAGAUGCCUGGGUGGCUCCGUCGGUUAACCGUCUGACUCUUGAUUUUGGCUCAGGUCAUGACCUCCGAGUCAUGGGAUCAAGCCCUGCGUUGGCUCCGCACUCAGUGGAGAGUCUGCUUGUCCCUCUCCCUCUGCUCCCCCCCCCCGCCCGUGUUCUUUCUUUCUCUC